GAUGAACGCUGGCGGCGUGCCUAAUACAUGCAAGUCGAGCGAACAGAUAAGGAGCUUGCUCCUUUGACGUUAGCGGCGGACGGGUGAGUAACACGUGGGUAACCUACCUAUAAGACUGGAAUAACUCCGGGAAACCGGGGCUAAUGCCGGAUAACAUUUAGAACCGCAUGGUUCUAAAGUGAAAGAUGGUUUUACUAUCACUUAUAGAUGGACCCGCGCCGUAUUAGCUAGUUGGUAAGGUAACGGCUUACCAAGGCAACGAUACGUAGCCGACCUGAGAGGGUGAUCGGCCACACUGGAACUGAGACACGGUCCAGACUCCUACGGGAGGCAGCAGUAGGGAAUCUUCCGCAAUGGGCGAAAGCCUGACGGAGCAACGCCGCGUGAGUGAUGAAGGUCUUCGGAUCGUAAAACUCUGUUAUUAGGGAAGAACAAAUGUGUAAGUAACUGUGCACGUCUUGACGGUACCUAAGCAGAAAGCCACGGCUAACUACGU
RNAcentral lists this ribosomal RNA (496 nucleotides) under uncultured bacterium. RNAcentral describes it as "partial 16S ribosomal RNA". It matches the Rfam family "Bacterial small subunit ribosomal RNA", at positions 28 to 506 of the family's 1533-position model. The record is from RNAcentral.